This 615-nucleotide ribosomal RNA is filed under the name Ascomycota sp. Its description in RNAcentral is "LSU rRNA". It matches the Rfam family "Eukaryotic large subunit ribosomal RNA", at positions 35 to 668 of the family's 3401-position model. The record is from RNAcentral. Lineage: Eukaryota; Fungi; Ascomycota.
UUUGCAUAUCAAUAAGCGGAGGAAAAGAAACCAACAGGGAUUACCUCAGUAACGGCGAGUGAAGCGGUAACAGCUCAAAUUUGAAAUCUGGCCGCAAGGUCCGAGUUGUAAUUUGUAGAGGAUGUUUCGAGCAUGGUCUGGCCUAAGUUCCUUGGAACAGGACGUCAUAGAGGGUGAGAAUCCCGUAUGCGGUCAGGUGCCUACGCUCAUGUGAAACUCCUUCGACGAGUCGAGUUGUUUGGGAAUGCAGCUCAAAAUGGGUGGUAAAUUUCAUCUAAAGCUAAAUAUUGGCCAGAGACCGAUAGCGCACAAGUAGAGUGAUCGAAAGAUGAAAAGCACUUUGGAAAGAGAGUUAAACAGUACGUGAAAUUGUUGAAAGGGAAGCGCUUGCAACCAGACUUGCGCGCGGCUGAUCAUCCGGGCUUCUGCCCGGUGCACUCGGUCGCGCUCAGGCCAGCAUCGGUUUUGGUGGCGGGAUAAAGGCCUUGGGAAUGUAGCUCCUCUCGGGGAGUGUUAUAGCCCAGGGUGCAAUGCCGCCUACCGGGACCGAGGACCGCGCUUCGGCUAGGAUGCUGGCGUAAUGGUUGUAAGCGACCCGUCUUGAAACACGGACCA